This 113-nucleotide small RNA is filed under the name Citrobacter freundii. RNAcentral describes it as "partial RtT sRNA". It matches the Rfam family "RtT RNA", at positions 20 to 130 of the family's 130-position model. Rfam says of the family: This family represents a bacterial cis-regulatory element known as RtT RNA. The record is from RNAcentral. Lineage: Bacteria; Pseudomonadati; Pseudomonadota; Gammaproteobacteria; Enterobacterales; Enterobacteriaceae.
GGGUGAGAACCUUCGAUUAAGGUUCGACUCGAGCGAAAGCGAGAGAACGUUGCCAACGGCAACGGCCCGAAGGGUGAGGAGCGAAGCGACGAAUAAUCCUUCCCCCACCACCA